UGGGGAAUCUUGGACAAUGGGGGCAACCCUGAUCCAGCCAUGCCGCGUGAGUGAUGAAGGCCUUAGGGUCGUAAAGCUCUUUCGCCUGUGAAGAUAAUGACGGUAGCAGGUAAAGAAACCCCGGCUAACUCCGUGCCAGCAGCCGCGGUAAUACGGAGGGGGUUAGCGUUGUUCGGAAUUACUGGGCGUAAAGCGCACGUAGGCGGACCAGAAAGUUGGGGGUGAAAUCCCGGGGGCUCAACCCCGGAACUGCCUCCAAAACUAUUGGUCUAGAGUUCGAGAGAGGUGAGUGGAAUUCCAAGUGUAGAGGUGAAAUUCGUAGAUAUUUGGAGGAACACCAGUGGCGAAGGCGGCUCACUGGCUCGAUACUGACGCUGAGGUGCGAAAAGUGUGGGGAGCAAACAGGAUUAGAUACCCUGGGUAGUCCACACCGUAAAACGAUGAAUGCCAGUCGUCGGGUAGCAUGCUAUUCGGU
Molecule: ribosomal RNA, 475 nt
Filed under: uncultured bacterium
Lineage: Bacteria
Description: bacterial SSU rRNA
Rfam family: Bacterial small subunit ribosomal RNA
Source: RNAcentral